RNAcentral lists this small nucleolar RNA (176 nucleotides) under Spathaspora passalidarum NRRL Y-27907. RNAcentral's name for it is "Small nucleolar RNA snR4". It matches the Rfam family "Small nucleolar RNA snR4". The record is from Rfam by way of RNAcentral. Lineage: Eukaryota; Fungi; Ascomycota; Pichiomycetes; Serinales; Debaryomycetaceae.
AACUAUAACAGUCGAUGAGGAUAGGUUAUGUUAUCCGUUGCAGUAAAACUGGAGGGAAGGGACCUUGGUUCUGACCUUUUUGGUUGACUCAUGGGAGACUGUGGGCGCUGUGGACAACGUCACGACCGUUCAUCACCACACACACUUAGUGAUGUAAUAGAAACAAUCUGAGGCUG